Molecule: RNA transcript, 1608 nt
Organism: Vitis riparia (riverbank grape)
Lineage: Eukaryota; Viridiplantae; Streptophyta; Magnoliopsida; Vitales; Vitaceae
Exons: 7
Source: RefSeq, a predicted model, not a curated record
CAACCUUUGCCUGCAAAUCAUGAUCAGAUUUUGUCACCUGUGAUCAGAUUUAAAUUUUCAGAAAAAUCGGAAAAAAAAUCGGCUAUACAAACCGAAAAUUCGCCGAUAAAUUGCAGUGUCCGGCUAUUUUUUGAAGAUUUCGCCGAUUUUUCGUCUGCAUCCAUUUUUCGGCGAUUUUUUCGCCGAUUUUAACCGAAAUUUGGCGAAAUUUCUCCCAUCGACAUUUCGCCCCCCUCUUUCGUAUCGCCGACCACCGAAACCCGAAAUUUCGGCGAAAAAAAUGGAAACUUUCAUCCUUGUACCCAAUUAUAUAGAUUUGUCUAUUUUGAUUGCUAUCUUCGUUGAUUCCUCUGAAAUCUUGGAUUUUUGGAUCAUCUGUUCAAUUCCUAUUCUUCUCCACUGGGAAUCAUCCAAACAGGGAAAGAGAGGAAGUAAGGAUUUUGCAGAGGGAGAACUAGGUUAGGGUUUUGCCAUGGAUAGUGGAGGCGUAGCGCCACAGCUGUCAGAGGAGGCAACUCAUCAUCUGCAACAAGGCAUAGUAAUGCUUCUGUCGCAGUGGUCUGCUCUCCAGAUGGCCGUCCAUAACGAGUGGGGUGGUCGUCAGUCUAGCCAGCUUGCCGACCAACUCGCCCUCGACAUCUUCUCCUGGUUCACACACUCCAGGGAGCCGCUUUACAUUGAUGAUUUGGAAAAUAUACUUGAUGAAGCUAUGCUUUCGCUCAACACCAUGACUGAGGACGGCAGCAUUGAGGAGGUAGCUGAAAAAUUAAUGACUAUGCAUGAAGAAUGUUUGGAAGGUAAUUAUCAGUCAAUUGAAAAACUAAGGGAAGCCGGUUCCCGGCCAGCUGUUCAUCAUAUUAGACAGGCUGUUAAUGAGGACAAUGAUGAUGAUGAUGAUGACGACGACGACAAUGAUGAGAACAUGGGGAAUGAUAAUUCAUCAAACAUGAUUGUGGAUGCACCAGAAGCCCCCCCACCAAAUUUAAAUCCAGCAGAGAUGCCGGUAGAGGAGCCAAGGGCCUCAAACCCAAAGGUUGCUGAAGCAGAUGAUGGAUGGGUGGUAGUUGCCUCCAAGCGGAAUAGGGUUGCAAAAGCUGAUGGGUUCAACACCGGUAGAUCUUGCCAGGUCUAAAUUGGCUAAAAGUGGUCAAAUAAGUAGAAAUGCACUCUGCCCAUGUGGUUCCAAAAAGAGAUACAAGCGGUGCUGCGGAAAGGAUUGAAGAUUUUAAAGAAGAGAUACAUGAAAACCUUACUCUGACCUUGAUAUGGGAGAGAUUUUCUGAGAUUGUACAAAUUCAUUUGCUGUUUCAAAUGGCAUCUUGUUAGAGCCUUUUGGUUAAUUUGCUACAUGGACACUGGCUGCAAAGGUGUUUUAAAUUUUGCGUUCAUGGACUAGACUGUCUACAUGCUGGUUAAUUAACCUGAUUAAGUGCUUGUAUUUAUGCAGGCUGUUGUUUUUGCUUCCAUGGAGUAUAUGGUCUAUAGGCCAGCUAAGCAAUUGAGUGGCUUGUAUUUAUACAUUGUUCUGGUCAUGAAAUUCAGGCAGAACAAAUUUUACUAAUAAAAUGCAUGAAGUCUCUCUUCACCCUUUUAAGUGGUUGAUAUUUA